AAUAGUCUCAUGAACACAUUAUUUGUUAAUUUUGUGGCCCUCUGUCACUUUAAUAAAGGACAACUCAAAUCUUGGGCUUCAACUGUAAAAGCCUUUAUUAUUGAUGCAUUCAAGCUGUAGAGAAGCAAGAGCAAGGUCAAGGGUGACAGAGUUCUUCCCCCUAUAAGGGAAGUGUUGACAACCUGCUGGCCCUUUCUCAGAGAUUCUGCAGUAGGCAAUGAGGCACUUUGCUACACUUAUUCAUGAGAAAAUAUUCUAGUCUUUUGAGGAUGUGCAAUGAGGUUGCAUUGAUGAAAGUUUCAAGAUUUCAUUUAAUUCUAAAAAUUUUAUGUAUUGGAAGCACCCCAUUUUCAACAUCAGCUUUGGCCCAUCAGAUUUGGAGCUUGUUUGGACUUGAUGGAUACCACUCCCAGCUAGACGUGGAGUGACCUUUCCUCUCUGGAGUUUGGAAUUGCACUCCGAAUGACAGGCACUCUCAAAGCCACACACAUUCUCCUCUCUGCCAUGGGACAGAAAUUUGGCAGCAGGUGAGUUGUGUCUGUUU
RNAcentral lists this long non-coding RNA (544 nucleotides) under Callithrix jacchus (white-tufted-ear marmoset). RNAcentral describes it as "lncRNA (ENSCJAG00000080447.1)". Lineage: Eukaryota; Metazoa; Chordata; Mammalia; Primates; Cebidae. The record is from RNAcentral.